GAUGAACGCUGGCGGCGUGCCUAAUACAUGCAAGUCGAGCGAACAGACGAGGAGCUUGCUCCUCUGACGUUAGCGGCGGACGGGUGAGUAACACGUGGAUAACCUACCUAUAGACUGGGAUAACUUCGGGAAACCGGAGCUAAUACCGGAUAACAUGUUGAACCGCAUGGUUCAACAGUGAAAGACGGUCUUGCUGUCACUUAUAGAUGGAUCCGCGCCGCAUUAGCUAGUUGGUAAGGUAACGGCUUACCAAGGCAACGAUGCGUAGCCGACCUGAGAGGGUGAUCGGCCACACUGGAACUGAGCCACGGUCCAGACUCCUACGGGAGGCAGCAGUAGGGAAUCUUCCGCAAUGGGCGAAAGCCUGACGGAGCAACGCCGCGUGAGUGAAGAAGGUCUUCGGAUCGUAAAACUCUGUUAUUAGGGAAGAACAAAUGUGUAAGUAACUAUGCACGUCUUGACGGUACCUAAUCAGAAAGCCACGGCUAACUACGUG
Molecule: ribosomal RNA, 496 nt
Filed under: uncultured bacterium
Lineage: Bacteria
Description: partial 16S ribosomal RNA
Rfam family: Bacterial small subunit ribosomal RNA
Source: RNAcentral